CUUUUUUUCUUUGACAAUUCUGAAUUUACUACUUUGUUUGAAAGAGAUUUUUUAGAAUGGGAUCAAAUUUUUGUUGAGGGUUUUGUUUAAAUUGUUUGCAACAUCAGGUUUUACACCGUUUAUGUAGUAUUUUGUUAAUAAUUUGUAGUGAUUAUGUGAUUCAAGGCUUUUGAUAGACUUUUCGGAAUUGAAGAUCAACAUUAUUAUAAGGCCAACUGUAAAGUUUUGAACACAGAGGUCAAUUCUUUCUGAUAAUGUAUGAAUUUGGGCAG
RNAcentral lists this long non-coding RNA (272 nucleotides) under Olea europaea subsp. europaea. Lineage: Eukaryota; Viridiplantae; Streptophyta; Magnoliopsida; Lamiales; Oleaceae. The record is from RNAcentral.